CCAGUGUCAUUUUUGUGAUCUGCAGCUAGUAUUCUCGCUCCAGUUGCAUAGUCACAAAAGUGAUCAUUG
Equus caballus (horse) is the source of this 69-nucleotide microRNA precursor. Ensembl annotates it as microRNA 153-1. Its record names the gene MIR153-1. Lineage: Eukaryota; Metazoa; Chordata; Mammalia; Perissodactyla; Equidae. The record is from Ensembl.